This 1486-nucleotide unclassified non-coding RNA is filed under the name Hevea brasiliensis (rubber tree). The record is from RNAcentral. Lineage: Eukaryota; Viridiplantae; Streptophyta; Magnoliopsida; Malpighiales; Euphorbiaceae.
GCAAAUUUUCCGUUAUUCUUUAUGGUGUAUAUACAGCUUUUAGGUUUUGACUCUGUAGAUUUUUGAUAUAGUUUUUGCGAGAAUCGGUGCAGCUUUUUAGGCGUUGACCGGUUUGGAUUAUCUUCGGAUUUGAACUAUCCGAUUAUCAGUUUAUCUUAUAUUGAAAUGAGUCUACAACAGGAAUCACACCGUCCUCAUCAUCGAUUUGGAAAUCCGUUUAAAAUGAUUUUAUCACCCAAGGGCUCAUAUUUGUCUCCUAAACUUCUUGCUCUGUUAAAUUCAUUUGAGCAGACAUUAGCAGGGAGACUUAAGAGUCUUAAGCCUGGAGGCAAGGAAGAUAUCCUUAGCCUUUCAUGGAUGACUCAAGCAAUAAGCACACUUUGUGCAGUCCAUACAGAUGUGAAAACUCUUAUUACUGAUCUCGAGCUUCCUGUAUCUGACUGGGAAGAGAAGUGGAUUGGUGUCUACUUGGACAAUAGUUUGAAGAUGCUGGAUAUGUGCGUAGCCUACAGCUCUGAGAUUUCCAGGCUUAGCCAAGGUCACCUUUAUCUUCAGUGCAGCUUGCACAAGCUAGAUGGCUCUUCAACACAGUUCAUGAAGGCUCGUUCUUCAUUGGAUGGAUGGAAGCAGCACAUUAAUGCAAAGAACCAUAGACUGGAGAAUUGCUUUGCCAUCUUGGACAGUCUCACUGAUUCACUGAACCUACCCAAGAUUAAGAAUUCUGCUAAAGGGAAGGUUCUGAUGCAUGCAAUGUAUGGAGUGAGGGUUGCAACUGUUUUCAUAUGUAGCAUCUUUGCUGUUGCAUUCUCGGGUUCUGCAGCGAAAUUGAAGGAUCUGCAGGUUCUUGAGAGUUGCUUGUGGACAGAAGCUUUUGUUGAUCUUCGUGAUUUUGUUAGUGGUGAGAUCAGGGGCAUAUAUUCUGUAGGGAAAUUCACAGCACUGAAGGAGCUUGAAGCAUUGGAUGUUAGUGUGAAGAAGAUAUACCCAAUCAUUCAGGAUGGAGUAGAUUCUAUUGACGCGGCACAGUUGGAACUUCUAACUUCAGAUCUGACUCAAAAAAAUGAAAAAUUUUCAGUAGGACUAGAUCUCCUAGCAAAGGAGACAGAUAAGUUCUUUCAAAUACUUCUAACUGGACGCGAUGUGUUGCUUUGUAACCUUAGAGUUGGUAGUGCAACCGUUAAACCAGCCCAACCAAACAACAAUGUACAUAAACAAAUGGUGAAGUGAUGGUUAAGAAAGCGAGCAUCUUUUGUGUUUACACAAGUGUGCGUGUGUCAAUGCAGAGUUUUGUGCUUUCUGGUUAAAUAUGUACUGCUAAGAUGUGCAAUAUAUAACAUUUGUUGUGAUAAAGGCUGUGUAAUUUAUAGUAGUGAAGGUUGUGUAUUGUUGCCAUAUAGGUGUUUUACAACGAUCCAUAUAUAUCUGUACCCCUUUACUAUAUCAACGAUGUAUAAAAGAAGUUCAAUGAGAAGUUGCCAUCCCUGCU